Lethenteron reissneri (Far Eastern brook lamprey) is the source of this 876-nucleotide long non-coding RNA. RefSeq lists it as uncharacterized. The record is from RefSeq and is a predicted model, not a curated record. NCBI's taxonomy places the organism in Eukaryota, Metazoa, Chordata, Hyperoartia, Petromyzontiformes, Petromyzontidae.
ACACAGCAUUCACCACUUAAGCGACGGCGCUCGUGCCAGGCUAAGGUGAAAUUCGAGACCGUGGCUACUGGCAAGGAGGUCACGGGGACAGACCCCAUUGCAUUAUGGAUUCACCGACUGAGAUGAGUGCACCACCUGUGCCCCCCCCUCCCCUACCACCACGCUGCUCGCUCGCUGUGUUCUUGCCUCCCGGCGCUCGGCUCGUCAUUGUGAGCUUCGCAUCCGUAGGAGCUUCAGAUCCGUGGCUCGGCUCGCAAUCAACGUCGAGCGAGAGGAGUAGUGGUGGUGGUGAUGGUGGUGGUCAUGGUUGACCUGCGCCUCCCACUCCACAUGUGUGGAGUGACGCAGGCAAGAGAUAAUGGGAGUCUGAUGUUGUCUGUAAUCCCCUUGUCCCAGGUGCUCGGGCUGACGUGAGGCUUCUCAGAAUUGGUCACCUCGCUAGGUGACUUCAAUGCCCCGUGUGUUUAGCUCAAGGUGCUCCUGCAACUUGGAUUAGCACGGUUCGCUAUUUGCGGUCCGUGUAAGUUCAACACACACAGCACGUGGACAUCCGUGGAAAAAAAAACAACGACCAUCGCCGCUCAUCUGAUUCUUUCAGUCUCAAUAAAGAGUCUGAUUGUGACAGAUGCUGGUGCAGCCCGCGGUCUAUUUAAUGACCAAUCGCAUCGUGUUCCAACAUCGGUGAAUUCCCGGCCCGAGCAAGAAUAUAGACAGCUUGAGAAAUCACCGAUGAGAUUCACGUCAAACGGAAGAAGCACGUGUUCCGACUGCAGCGUCGAAAUUCUCGAAUGCCAGUUCAUAUCUUUGACACGUGGCCCGCUGCUGUGCAGCCGAUCCAUCCACUGACCCCUGGGCUUGUCAUGCGUAAGAUGCUCC